Molecule: long non-coding RNA, 3363 nt
Organism: Aphis gossypii (cotton aphid)
Lineage: Eukaryota; Metazoa; Arthropoda; Insecta; Hemiptera; Aphididae
Exons: 5
Source: RefSeq, a predicted model, not a curated record
UUAUAACUUAUAAGUAUUAUACUAAUAAGUUAAUAACAUACGGGAUACGGUUUAUUAAGCCAUUUUACACCAUACAUUUCUUUUGCUUUUUUUUAUUACUUAACGAGAUAGCUAUUAUAGGUGCCUAAUGCCUAGGUAUAAAAUGUUUUUAUUUUUUUUUUUUAACUAAUUUUCAUUGAGUAAUUACGUAACACAAAUAUUUGCAAAGUAAUAAGACAAUAAUGAUUUAUUUAUUUUAUUUACAGUUUCUUUGUGAACCAAAUGAUAUUGCUAAAGUUCGGACCAAUCUUGAAAAAUAUAAGUACGACAUAGUGCACGCCGAAGAGGAACAUUUGCCCCUACAAAAAGUAACAUUAAGCGAAAUAGAAUACGAACAUUUAGCAAAAUUUAUUAAUAAUGUUCAAGGACUACAGGAUGUCGUUCAAAUUUAUGAUAAUGUAAAUUAAUGUAAUGAUGUAAAAUUAUGAGUUGUCAGGUAAUACAAGCUUGUUAAUAAAUGUUAUUAAUUUACGUGACAGCUUUAUUUAUUUUUAAAACAAAUACGAGUUUAUUAUCUUAUAUUCACAAAAGUUUCAUAUCCUGAAUUGAUUGAGCUAUUGCUUGUUUUUAAUUUAAGUACUCGACCUGUCAUCGUUAACCAUUGACGCAUUUUUUAAACAAUAUUGCAGAGACAAGAAACUUGCAUUUUUGUAGAGAAUAUUCGCGAUUCAAAGGUCAUCAUAUGCAUAACCUGCAACUGCAGCUAGUAUUGCACGGUCACCGUAGACCUGUAAUUUAUUAUAAUUCACGAUAAUGACGUUGGCAUAAUAUUGCAGUAGUAUAACAUUGUAACAUAUAGAGAAUAAGUAGGUAUACAUUAUGCAUUUAUGUUAUAUGUGCAUACGUUUACAUUUUAUAUAAUUGCAAAUAUUUUCGCGAUACGAAGUGCAAUCGUCAUUUGAAUUCUUAGUCUGUUCGUAGCUUUUACCACGGUCCUUAGUCCGUACCUAACUAUUAUUUGAAUUUAGAGUCGCUAUACGAGACUUAUAUUUAAUCGUUUUAUUUCAAGAAUACAUGGCCUUACAAUUUGAUCUUUAUCAUAUAUAUUAAUAUUUCAUAAUAUAAAGUAUAAAUCGCGAUCACAAAAUAAUAUUUCGUCUAUUGUUGAUGUUAUUUUCACGACCAAAAUAAUACAAUAUAAUGACAACGGCACAACGCUCUUCCACGAUGACCUAUGUAUGUGUUUAGUGCGUAUGUGUGAUUGCGGACUCGGGCAGUGUACAGUUCAAUAAUGCAAUAUGAUAUUCCGCCACAGGGCACAGACGCUACAGUUUAACUUUUAACUUUUCACCUGAUUUAUUCGCGGCAAACAACAAAUCCGUUUAUGCAAUGUACGUGGCCCUAUCACAGUGCUUAUAUUGUAUACUCGUUGUUCUCCGAAGACCUAUUCGCCUAGUUUCUCUGAAAGAGCAGACCAAAGCAGAAACAAUGUGUUUAAAUUUCCGUUCGAAAAUCACGAAGUAAAAAAUGUUAAAAAUCAAAGUCCAUACUUGGAAUCGAGCGUUAAGACAACUGCAUAAAUUAAACACAACUGCGAAUAAGUUCUACCGAUUGAGCUAGUCGGACUUGAUUGGCAGUUCGAUCAUAUAGUGUUACAUACCAACCUUUAAUAUUAUCAUCAUCUACAAACAGGUGUUUUGAUACGCAUUCGAACAUAUAGUGGUCUAAAUCCUGUUGGUCACAACUUCCACCGCCACUUCAGAUAUUGCCAAUCUACAAAAUUGAAUCCUGGAUAUCGUGAUGAAAUUUGUGCUUAAAUGAACAUUCAUCUAUAGGAAACGGCACAGUACCCACUACCAUUACUUUAAAACUCUCACCCGGUGAUCCAAUGGAGGACAUGAGUCUUGUAUCCGUUUUAAAUCAUCGGGCAGAUCCGGGACUGUGGUCAGUGGCCUUCGCUAUGUAAUAUAUUCAUAAGGGAUCAUACCUUGUGCAUUUUGAGUUGAAAUCGAAUGUAUUAAUGGCAUGACUACGGCAAGCAGCAUAAACAAAUUUGACAUCACGGUCGUCAUCGUAUUGUUGGUUUGACGCGCAGAUGAAGUAAAGCGCACCAUAGUGUAAUAGUUAUAAAGUGUCCGAAGUACAAUUAAAAAUGAACACGUUCGCGACGAGCAUGUACCAAGCGUGAAAAAAAGUGUGUACGGCCAAAAAUAUUUCCGUUCGAAAAUCACGAAGUAAAAAAUGUUAAAAAUCAAAGUCCAUACUUGGAAUCGAGCGUUAAGACAACUGCAUUAAUCGAACACAACUGCGAAUAAGAUCAAAAAUUACGUUCUUUUCCUCAUUGCUAAUGAACGUUUCAAACACCACACUGUUGUCGAACAAUGUACCAAUUCAUCAAUACUGUUGCAGACAAGAGGCUGUGUGACUUAUACCGACUGAGCUAGUCGGACCGGAUUGGCAGUUCGAUCACAUAGCGUUAGUAAUAAUACAUACCAGCAUUUAAUAUUGUCAUCUUCUAUGAAUAGAUAUAUUACCGUAUACUAACUUAAUUUUUUUUUAAAUAUAUUAUAUGAUGUAUUGAUGCAUAGAAAAUUAUAACUUAACUCGUAUUAACUUAGCUUAUAGGUUAGGUGUUUUUAUUAUUAUUCUAAUUGUAUAAACAUCUAUUGUAUAACUUAUACUAAUUAAUUAUUCUUAACUUAAAUUAUUCACAAUUUGUUUUUCACUUUGAUUUUUAACGUUUUGUACUCCGCGAUUUUGAUCAGUAAUUUUUUUUUGCUGUACCUACACACUUUUCACUCAUACACGAUGCGUGCUCGUGGCGGCGAAUGUGUUAAUUUUUAAUUGUAUUUCGACUUUUUAUAACUAUUAUACUAAUGGUCCGCAUUACUUAAUCUGCGCGUCAUAUACCAACAACACGAUGUCGACCGUGAUGCCAAGUUUGUUAAUAUUGACUGCCAUAGCCACGCCGUUGAUACAUUCUAUUUCAACUUCACAAGAUACGAUCCCUCAUGGGUAUCUUACAUAGCGAAGGCAACUCACCACAGUUCCGGAUCUGCAAGCUGUUCUGAGUCGGAUAUAGGCUUCAUGCCCAACAUUGGAUCACCGUGUGAACGUUUGAAAGUAGUUGUAUUCCGUACUGUGCCGUCAUCUAUAGAUGAAUGUGCGUCUCAACAAAAAUUUCAUAACAAUAUCGUCCCAGAUUCAAUUUGUAGGUGAUGGGCUUUAUUCUAAGGUGUCGUUGGAAUUUGUGACAACCAGGAUUUAGACUACUGCAUGUUUGACUGUCUAUAAACACAUAAAGUAUAAAAAAAAAUACGAUUAUUUAUUCAUAAAUCAAUUAAAAAUAAUACUAAAAUAAAGCUAACUUAUUUUAACUUCUAA